CCUACGGGAGGCUGCAGUGGGGAAUAUUGCACAAUGGGGGAAACCCUGAUGCAGCGACGCCGCGUGAGUGAAGAAGUAAUUCGUUACGUAAAGCUCUAUCAGCAGGGAAGAAAAUGACGGUAAGUGAGUAAGAAGCUUUGGCUAAUUACGUGCCAGCAGCCGCGGUAAUACGUAGGGGGCAAGCGUUAUCCGGAUUUACUGGGUGUAAAGGGAGCGUAGACGGUAGUGCAAGUCUGGAGUGAAAGGCGGGGGUUCAACCCCCGGAGUGCACUGGAAACUGUACGGCUGGAGUGCAGGAGAGGUAAGUGGAAUUCCUAGUGUAGCGGUGAAAUGCGUAGAUAUUAGGAGGAACACCAGUGGCGAAAGCGGCUUACUGGACUGUAACUGACGUUGAGGCUCGAAAGCGUGGGGAGCAAACAGGAUUAGAUACCCGGGUAGUC
This 440-nucleotide ribosomal RNA is filed under the name uncultured bacterium. RNAcentral describes it as "partial 16S ribosomal RNA". It matches the Rfam family "Bacterial small subunit ribosomal RNA", at positions 338 to 795 of the family's 1533-position model. The record is from RNAcentral.